Long non-coding RNA from Eptesicus fuscus (big brown bat), 554 nucleotides. RefSeq lists it as uncharacterized. The transcript is spliced from 2 exons. Lineage: Eukaryota; Metazoa; Chordata; Mammalia; Chiroptera; Vespertilionidae. The record is from RefSeq and is a predicted model, not a curated record.
CGAUUAUGGCGCAAAGACAAGGAGUGAGCGGGGCGGCUGGCCUAGUGAGCCGCAGUGGUGGAGGCCCAGGUGGAAUCAGAGAGAAAGCCUGGAAUCAGAGCCGGUUUCUUAGGACGUGGCCUACAGAACAGGAUGCGUGAGCUGGUCAGGAAGUCAAAGGGGUGUCCGCGCCUGCUCCAAGGUGGAGAGAGCCUGCGUCGUCCAUCGUACCUGCCCUGCCACCUCCAGAGGGCGGUUGUGGAGACCCGGCGAGAUACAUCACACAGAAUUGCUUUGAAGACUAAAACGCUGUACAUAUUCUUAUUUCCUUUAAACAUCACAAAUAGCACCAGAGGGCUUCAAAGAGAAAGGACGUUAACCUCUGGAUUACUGUAUUUCAUCAAAUUUAAUAUUCUGUCAGUUAUAAGAUGCACCAUAUUUAAACGUACCACUAAGGAAAAAAGUUGCCAAGUAAACUGACAUGUCAUCGGUUGUAAGUUGUAUUCUGAUUUCAGAAAUAUAUAUAUAUAUAUUUUAAGUACAAGACCAUGAGAAUAAAUGAAGUACAAUAGGAA